UGAAUUCAAGCCAAAUGAGGAAGUGAUAUAGUGAUUUUGUGCAUUGGUGUAGAUCUGACCAUAAAAUCAGUUUGUACACAUUUCAAAUGACCAAACAAAGUGGUUCUGAGGUUCUAAAUGCACAAAAACCAGCAACUAUGCAAUUUCACACUUCCACUUGCCAAAUUAUGCAGAAAANNGUAUNAAAACUGCAGCAGUACNAAUAAUUGAUUCUUGACUGGAUUCAAAUUGGUUUAAGCACAAGAAAUUCAGAAGAAUUUGAUCUAGAACUAGCUCUAGAAAAUUAAGCUAGCAGAAGUUGAAUGCCUACUGAAAUUGCAAAGCUUAGAACACGGUGCAGAGUUC
RNAcentral lists this long non-coding RNA (345 nucleotides) under Vigna radiata. RNAcentral describes it as "long non-coding RNA (VRAD_LNC001889)". The record is from RNAcentral. Lineage: Eukaryota; Viridiplantae; Streptophyta; Magnoliopsida; Fabales; Fabaceae.